GCAUCGGUGGUUCAGUGGUAGAAUUCUCGCCUGCUACGCGGGAGGCCCGGGUUCAAUUCCCGGCCGAUGCA
Molecule: transfer RNA, 71 nt
Filed under: Penaeus chinensis
Lineage: Eukaryota; Metazoa; Arthropoda; Malacostraca; Decapoda; Penaeidae
Description: tRNA-Ser
Rfam family: tRNA
About the family: Transfer RNA (tRNA) molecules are approximately 80 nucleotides in length. Their secondary structure includes four short double-helical elements and three loops (D, anti-codon, and T loops). Further hydrogen bonds mediate the characteristic L-shaped molecular structure. tRNAs have two regions of fundamental functional importance: the anti-codon, which is responsible for specific mRNA codon recognition, and the 3' end, to which the tRNAs corresponding amino acid is attached (by aminoacyl-tRNA synthetases). tRNAs cope with the degeneracy of the genetic code in two manners: having more than one tRNA (with a specific anti-codon) for a particular amino acid; and 'wobble' base-pairing, i.e. permitting non-standard base-pairing at the 3rd anti-codon position.
Source: RNAcentral